This 87-nucleotide unclassified non-coding RNA is filed under the name Pseudomonas psychrophila. Lineage: Bacteria; Pseudomonadati; Pseudomonadota; Gammaproteobacteria; Pseudomonadales; Pseudomonadaceae. The record is from RNAcentral.
UGUGGGAGCGGGCUUGCUCGCGAUGCAGGCUACACGGUUUGCCAGGCAAACCGAGGUGAUGCCAUCGCGAGCAAGCUCGCUCCCUCA